This 95-nucleotide non-coding RNA is filed under the name Candidatus Nitrotoga fabula. RNAcentral describes it as "Glycine". It matches the Rfam family "Glycine riboswitch aptamer". Rfam says of the family: This family represents the bacterial glycine riboswitch. Glycine riboswitches usually consist of two metabolite-binding aptamers domains with similar structures in tandem. The record is from RNAcentral. Lineage: Bacteria; Pseudomonadati; Pseudomonadota; Betaproteobacteria; Nitrosomonadales; Gallionellaceae.
ACAGGCAAAUCUGGAGAGUGCUGUAUAUACACAGCCACCGAAGGGGCACACGAUAUUUUCGUAAUCUCUCAGGUAAAGAGGACAGAUGGGGCGAG